This 207-nucleotide ribosomal RNA is filed under the name uncultured bacterium. RNAcentral describes it as "partial 16S ribosomal RNA". It matches the Rfam family "Bacterial small subunit ribosomal RNA", at positions 568 to 774 of the family's 1533-position model. The record is from RNAcentral.
CACGUAGGCGGCUCUUUAAGUCAGGGGUGAAAUCCUGGAGCUCAACUCCAGAACUGCCCUUGAUACUGAGGAGCUUGAGUCCGGGAGAGGUGAGUGGAACUGCGAGUGUAGAGGUGAAAUUCGUAGAUAUUCGCAAGAACACCAGUGGCGAAGGCGGCUCACUGGCCCGGUACUGACGCUGAGGUGCGAAAGCGUGGGGAGCAAACA